AACAAUCCACAAGAAACAUACAAUUAUUACAGCCUUCCAUUUUGUCAUCCAUCUGGUCAUUCUGCUCACAAAUGGGGUGGUCUUGGCGAGGUCCUUGGAGGAAACGAACUUAUUGACAGCCAAAUUGAGAUUAAGUUCCAAAGUACGCCAACUUCUUUUCAUGUUGGAAGGUUGAAUUUAGGCCUUGUGGUGAUCAUGGAUGAACUGUUGCAACUACUUAACUUUUCUUUUUUGCAGAAAAUGUGGAGAGGACCACUAUUUGUCAACUGGAGCUUGAUGAAUCAAAGGUCAAGCAGUUUAAGGAUGCAAUUGAGAAUGGCUACUGGUUUGAGUUCUUUAUGGGUAUGUUCUACACAGGUUUCUUGUAUUAAAAACUUAGAAUUAGGGGCUCAAAUAGAGUGAUCCAAAUCCAAAGAAAUACUUAUAUCUAGAACAGAAAUUUGAAAUUUGGUGAACAGACUGUCACUAGAAGAUUUGGAGGUCUAGUAUUUUAAGACCGGUGCUCUGACCAUGCAUGAAGACACUAGAAUCUGUUUGAGUUUCCAUAUUUUUCUCUUACUUAAUUUCAUAUUUCUCAUGAGCUAAUUUAUAUGCUCGUGUAUUCUUUUCUUGUAUGACCGGUAAGCCCCAAGGGAAAGGAAUUGCAGUUUCAGCUUCAAAUCUAUUAUUAAAUAUUCGAUACAUGUUCUUAUUUUGUAGUUUCUCUCUGACUGUUGUACAUAACAAUUCUUGAUUGAAGUGUAAAACUUAAAUUUUGACUUUCAUUUAUUCGACGAAUGAAUUCUUUUCUACAGUUUAUUUAUGUCUAUUGGUUAUGCAAAAAAUUGUUGCAAGACCUACACAUAUCUCAUCCAUACUUUCUUCUGAUGUUUUAUUUCAUGAUGCUGGAUGGGGAAUAAUCUUCAGAUGAUUUGCCUCUGUGGGGUAAGUGCUUUCUCUUAUUACAUUUUAGUUUGAUAUCUUGAUCAACGAAAAAUUUGGUGGUCCAAAGUGAUGCUUAUUGCCCCUUUUCAUUUAAGGCUUUGUUGGUGAGUUGCAUCCUGACAAGAAUAGCAAUAACGUGAAGCAUGUCCUUUACACGCAUAAGAACAUCAUCAUCAAAUAUAAUAAAGACCAGGUUUGUUUUCCACCUCCUGAUUUGCAUAGUUUUUUAAUAUUUUUUUUGGGGGUUGGCAUUCAAUAUAGAUAUGAUUUAACAACUAAAUUGUGAUUUUUAUAGAUUAUUCACGUGAAUCUCACCCAAGAAAACUUAAAACCGUUAGAGGUUGGGAAGACACUGGACUUGACAUAUGCUGUGAAGUGGAUUUCGACUAAUGUCACUUUCGCUCGACGAUUUGAUAUUUAUUUGGACUACCCAUUCUUUGAGCAUCAGGUAAUGGAUGACCCUCCUUCUCCCUUAUUGUGUUAUUUUCAUAUCUUUGCCCUAUAUCUUGAGAUUCUUCCUUCCAUCUAACUUAGUAAAUUCUUUAACUUCUUGUGGUAUUUUGUUACAUGCCUGUGUUCACAUACCAUAUCGAAAUAAUUUUCUGGCAUUUGGAAACUUUGCAGAUUCAUUGGUUCUCCAUUUUCAAUUCAUUCAUGAUGGUCAUUUUCCUCACUGGUUUGGUCUCUAUGAUAUUGAUGAGGACUCUUAGAAAUGACUAUGCUAAAUAUGCACGUGAAGAUGAUGAUCUGGAAACCCUGGUCAUACUUUCUUCCCUAUCAUAUGUUAUAUGCUAGUUUAAGCUUCAAUGUCUUCAACUGUCAUUUUUCUCUAUCUUAUGACUUUUUGUUUUCUUUUUGUACCUUUUAUCUUCUUUUUCAGGAGCGAGACGUUAGUGAAGAGUCUGGCUGGAAACUUGUGCAUGGGGAUGUUUUCCGGCCUCCUCGUAACUUAGUAAUUCUUUCAGCUGUUGUUGGUACAGGUGCUCAGCUUGCAUUGCUUGUUCUGCUUGUCAUCCUAUUGGCAAUUGUUGGAAUGUUGUAUGUUGGGUAAGUCAGGAAAUCUAACUUUUGUAUGGAAGUGUGUCUGACAUUUUAAAUUAAGGUGUAUAAGGAAACAAAUUUAAGUAAUUUUUUUUGUAAUGUUUUAAAAGUUGUGUCAAUAAGCACUCAUCACAACCUGCUUAUGACCGCUCCAUCUAACUACAAACAAAGGGGAAGAUUGCAAGUGACACUUUUGUUGCUUUUCUAUAUACAGGAGAGGAGCAAUUGUCACAACUUUCAUUGUAUGCUAUGCUCUUACGUCAUCCAUUUCUGGUUAUGUUAGUGCUGGGAUGUACUCACGCAAUGGGGGUAAGUAUUUCUACUAGUUUAGUGACUGCACUGAUUUGUUAACUUUAGGCUUCAGCGCAAUAUUGAUUUGUAAAACUACCCAACAUAUUUCUUUGAGGUUAUAAUACCAGUAUACUUUAAAGAUUUCUUUCAGCGGCUUCAGCACUUGGCUUAAUUCUUUGGCCCUUUCUAACGUUGUUAUCAUGACAGGUAAAAACUGGAUAAAAUCAAUGAUCUUCACAGCAUCUCUAUUUCCAUUUUUGUGCUUUGGAAUUGGAUUCAUCUUGAACACUAUUGCUAUAUUCUAUGGGUCUCUAGCAGCCAUUCCUUUUGGUACGAUGGUUGUGGUCUUUGUCAUUUGGGCUUUCAUUUCUUUUCCUUUGGCUCUUCUUGGUACGGUAAUUGGACGUAAUUGGAGUGGUGCCCCUAACAAUCCAUGUCGUGUGAAGACUAUUCCUCGUCCUAUCCCUGAGAAGAAAUGGUACCUCACACCAUCUGUUGUAUCCAUGAUGGGAGGAUUGCUGCCUUUUGGCAGUAUUUUCAUAGAGAUGUAUUUUGUCUUUACAUCCUUCUGGAACUACAAGGUAGUAUUGUCUUGUUUCUUGUUGGAAGUUGAAAAUAAUUUGGAGUUUAGUAGUUAAUUAACUGUCAGUGUAGUAGUUCAAAACUUCAGUACACUGCAUGCUAAGUAACAUAACAUUUAAAUAAUCAUUUGGUUACUUUUAUGUCAUGUUUGGAUUAAUUAUAGAAAAAAACGUUUAUCCAAAAAGUCAUUUUUAUUUUAACUCUUUUGAUAAAACUGUUUAAAAUAGUCGUUAAUUGUGUCUUGUAAACUAUUUUGAGAGGUUGACAUUUCAUUUCUUCUCUUUCCAAAAUGACUUAUUUUUAAACUAAACACUUAAAAAAGUUAACAAAACACACCCUAAAGCACUUUAUGGAUGAGAUGCUUGUUUCUUCAAGUUUUAAAAUCAAUUUAGGAAUUCCAACAAGACGUUCUAGGAUGUGUUGGCAGUAUUGGAAUAGCAACUUACUAGCUCGGCCUAUAACUUGUUGUCCCCCUAUCCACAGGUGUACUACGUAUAUGGAUUCAUGCUGCUGGUUUUUCUAAUUCUCAUCAUAGUUACUGUCUGCGUGACCAUUGUGGGAACAUAUUUCUUGCUUAAUGCCGAGAACUAUCACUGGCAGUGGACUUCAUUUUUCUCUGCUGCUUCAACUGCUGUCUAUGUCUACUUCUACUCGAUAUACUACUAUUAUGUGAAGACCAAGAUGUCCGGCUUUUUCCAAACCAGCUUCUAUUUUGGAUACACUUUGAUGUUCUGCCUUGGGUUGGGAAUUCUUUGUGGUGAGUUUUACAAUUUUACUGGCAUAUUCAAGUUAUUACGUGCUUUCUCGUUCACCUUAAAAGUGGCAUCUUCAACAAUUGAACAUGAAGAAGGCUUUGUCUUUCUUAGUUCUGUCUAUGAGCAAAUGUUGAUGGUCAUCUGAGAGCCAAAUUUCUUGCUAUGUUUUGAUUUCUGUAUAUUUUUGUUCAUGUUUCUUUUCUUAUGACAUAAAAUUUGAAUUGUGCAGGAGCUGUUGGUUACUUGGGUUCCAAUUUGUUCGUACGGAGGAUCUACAGGAACAUCAAAUGUGAUUAGGGGUAUUUUUGGAAGCAGAAGACCUACGCUACCUUGAAGCAUUUUCAUAGUGGAGGCAAUAACUUCGAGAAGCCCUUGACACAUGGGAGGCCUAGCAACGCAGUAAUACCUGUAGAAAUUAAAAGAUUUUGAGAUGGGGACAUGUUCUUAGCCCUGAGAUAUUUUCUUUUUGGUAAUUGAUGCGUUUUGCCCAAGCUGUAAUUGAAUAUCUUGAUUUAGAGUUUGAGAGAUUGCUUUUCAUAAUGUAGAAAAGUUGACCAAAUUGUUAGACCCAUGUCAUUUUUAUAAUAUUUUUUUUUUUGUCUUCACACAUCAUAAAGAAAUGACCGAGGUCUAUUUCUAUAUUAUGGUUCUAUUUGAAAUGAUAGUCGAUGGAUUGACACUCAAGAAUUACUGAAGGAGUAAGACUGGCUUUAGGAUAUGAUUUUGAGUUUGGCAGUUUGGGAUGUAGUUGUGUGGAGGAAGAAACUUAGAAUAUAAGAAUCCCCAAAUUACUGAAAACUUUGUGACUUGAAUGAAAAAGCAAAAAGCAAAAAGAAUGUUUAUUGUAUAGUUUCUUGAGAGAGAGACUUAAAAUGAUGUAGAAGAUUAGGUUAAGGCCAUAUGAUUCUGUUGAAAGGUAGAGGAGCGUGUGGAAGCCAUGGCCUCUCAUUCCCAUGGUCCCAUGAUUGUUGAUAAAAUGACAGAGUAUUAGCUCGUAGCCUUUCAUUUCAUUUCUUAUCUACAGGUGUGGGCUCCUCUUCUACUACAAGCUGAGUAAGGCAUACGAAUAAGAUCCAGAAGUCAGUGGCCAUUCAUCUUGGUAGAGCAGCAAAAUGACCAGUUCACCAGCACUUUCCAGUGUGACAUUGAACACCUCGUUUCUCCAGAAGCAGCCAACAACAAGGAUAAGGUUGGUGUUGAACUUUGGCCAAGAUUUGUUUAAGCUGAAGGGUGGCAGCAGCCGAGGUGGGCGAGUGAUUGCAAUGGCAGAGUACAACGUGAAGUUGAUCACACCAACAGGAGAGACGGAGUUCAAGUGCCCGGAUGACGAAUACAUUCUUGAUCGAGCUGAGCAAAUGGGAUUUGAUCUUCCAUAUUCAUGUAGAGCAGGGUCUUGCUCUUCUUGUGCAGGGAAAGUAGUAUCAGGGAAGGUGGAUCAGUCAGAUGGGAGCUACCUUGAGGAUGAUCAGAUGGAUGAAGGUUGGGUUUUAACUUGUGUUGCUUACCCGCAGUCAGAUGUUGUCAUUGAGACACACAAGGAGGAAUAUCUAUUUAGUUAGUUAGUUAAGUCUGCUUCAAGAUCUAGUUAUUUAUCUCCAUGAAAUGAUUCUGGCUUGCCUUCAGGUCCUUAAUCAGAUGUCUCAUGGAGUUUUUUGAUCACUUUUCUUAGUUUUACACCAACAUUCUAAAACCAAUUUAGGUUAGGAUUUAAAUUGAUAUAUUUGUAAAAAUUUUAGAUUUAAAUUGGUACAAUUAUUUAGUUUAGGGUUUAGAUUGACAUAACUUCAAAGUUCAGGGUUUAAAUUGAUGCACAUUAUCUUAUACGACUCCAAAAAUUUAGAGAUAUAAAUUGAUAUUUGUUCUAAUUUUAAAUAACAUCACUAUGCAAGAGACUAUCGAUAACUAAGGUCCUCAUUUCAAGUAGAGAAUACCUCACUAUUGUAAUUAGAGCGUAAAACACACCACUAACAUAAUUAAAGUCUCAACAGAUUUUUUCAAUAAAAUCCAUAGAGGGUUCAUCCUUAGUUUACAUCAUAUUCGCAGACAGCUCGUUGAGAGCACGAAUGAUGUCUAACGAGUUCGAUUAUACCCACAAAAGAUGGCUGUUGACAAUAUAACCUCCCCUUCCAAUACGUCAAUGGGCUUAGUGCAAAUAGAAGAUCUUUGAGAGUCACAAACUGCCCACCCCACCCCUCCAACCAUCUAUCCUAACUCCCACGCCUCACUGACCUUAUUUCCAGAAAGCUGAAGACUUAUCAUUCAUCUUGAAGAUGCAAUGAAGAUUGAACUUCUCAUCAUCGCUAUGCAAGGAAUGAAGCUAAUUUUUGUAGCUCCACAAAACAAUAAUCACCUUCGUAAGAUCCAUAUUUCUCAGUUUGCCUACGGUCCUCGCCUAAAGGUCCAUCGACAUCGACUACCAAUCCUCUUUGCAAGAGAUAAGUGAACCAAAUGAGAUUAGAAAAGUAUUGUUCCCACACUUUUUGAGCAAACUAACACAAACCACAUAUUGUGGCAUGCGGUCUCCUUGUCUUUCCUGCAAAAUAAGCCAAAAAGAGUUCAUAGAAACUUUAGAAGUUGUGUUAUGAAGUAACUACGUGUUGGUUUGAUCUUUUGUAAAUUGACUAAAAUUCAGAAGAAACAUAGAUAGUCUAAAGGAAAGAAAAAUUGAAGUUUCACUUAAUUUCAUGUUUGAGAGCUAAAUUACAUUGUUAAAUAACUUAGGUUAGGCUAGGAAUUAAAUUGCAAAUGAUUUACCUUUAGCUUUACUAAUGAAAUUAAGUGACAUAUGCUCUUUAUUGGUUCAUGAUAUUUCAUAAAGUUUUGAAGUUUUUGCCAUUUAAAUUUGUGGUUUUCAAGUCUGUCCUUAAAUCCAAUUCUUCUAAAGGUUUUUAGUUAGGGAAAUACAAAUCUGAGAUAAUUUGCCAUUUUUUCUUGUUUUGGUGUGGUUUUGAAGCAUUAUUUUGAUCACAUUCUUUUAAAGCUCAAAUAUAUGUUUUGGUUCCAUUGUUUAAAAUGCUUCAAUUUAAUAUUUAAGAUAUGUUUGGAAUUUUAAUUUAAAGAAUAUAAUGUUUGGUAACGUCUGGAAAUAGCUUUGAAAUGUAUUUUAAAUAGUUUUUAUUACGUGAAUUUAAUAAAAUUAAGUUUUUUUAAAAAUAUUUUUUUAUUAAUAUAUGCAUGUAUUUAUUUGUUUCGAAUGUUUUUUAAAUAUAGAAAAUGAGCUAAUUUUUUUUAAAAAUAAAUAUAACGAAAUUAUACUUUCUAUAGACUCAAAAUAAUCAACAAUUACUUCAGUGAUAGACAUUGAGAGAUCGGAGUCUAUUAUUGAUAGAAAGUAGUUCUUCUUUCUUAUUUCCUUCUUCGUUAUGGUUCCUUGUGUGCAUUUUUAUCCAACAAGUUCCAAAUCUUUGAAAGAAAAGAUUUUUCAAAGAGAAAAAUUGUGAGUUUAAAAUUAUUUUUAAGGCCAAUAUCAAUUUACAAAUCUAAAUUUUAGGUCAUAUCAAUUAAAACUUUGAACUUUAAUUGUCACGAUGCCAUGUAAAAUAAAAGGAUCAAAUUCUCUUCUCGUGUAUGGAAAUUGAAAUCAAUAUAAGAUAAUUUAGUAAAUAAAGAUACUACUUUAAUUAUCAUAUAAAAUAUCAAUAGUUUCAAUCUCUUGCUUUACCACGGUUGAACUCAAAACAAUAACAAUAAAAAAUUCAAUGGGACAACAUGAGCGUAAAUCCAACUUGUUGUCCAUACAUGGGUGGAUUUAUUAAGGAGUCGGGACUCCUCUCACAUUCUCGAUUUUUGUAUUUUAAUAUUAAUUUUGAAGUGUUAGAUUGUAAUAUAUAUUAAAUAAUGUUUUACCUUUACUAAAUUCUAGUUUUGGUGUAAUAACUAUGCUCUUCUACAAAAUCGUAAGGUUUCGGGGUUAGAUAUUUGCCUAUUAUAAUUAUUUUUGUCAUUUGCUGCAUUCGAUAAACAAAAACUUAGUCGACUUGCUCAGUUUUAUCCAAGAGAAUUUUCAGCUAUUGAACUCUCUUGAGUUUGUUGAACUAAAAAGCAUUGGUGAUCUUGUAGUGAAAAUAGUUGUUACAAAAAGAGAUAAGGUCUACCCAUUAUUUUAUCCAUUGCUCACAUUGACAUUGAUUUUACCGGUUGCAACAACUACUUAGAGAAAACUUUUUUUGCUAUGAAUAUUAUGAAGACUCGACUACGUAAUCGAGUUGGAGAUCGAUAGAUGAAUUAUUGUCUUAUAGCUUAUAUUGAGAAAUAUUUCUUGGAUAAGUUGAUAAUAAACUUAUCAUAAAUCGAUUUUAAAAUAUAAAAACUCGUAGAGAAUAGUUGCAAUACGUAUUAAAUUAAUUAAUCUUUAAAGCUACUAAUAUUUUUUAAAACAUUUUUUAGUGUGUUUGUUAUAUAGUGUUCUUACAUAAAAUUUCUAGAUCCACCAUUGUGUUCAUAUAUAUUUCAUUUAACAUGUGUUAAAAAUGAAAAAGUCAGUGAUUUGAAUUUUCUCAUUCUAUCGAAUUAAAGAAAACUGUGUGUCAAUUCAUUCAAAUUUGAUAAGAUUCAUCCACUUCAACCCUUCUCUAUUCAUUACUAACCAAUGCAAAAAUUCAAUGACACCAAAUUGAAGUUCCACCCUUGUCUUAAGAAGAAUGUUUACACAAUGUCCUAAUCUUUUAAUGCAGUGUGUUUUUAUUAGUUUCAAGAAUUUAGUGGAUCCACUUAUCAUAUAAAUGUAAAAUAGAAAAUACUCAUACAAAGUCAUCACUAUGACACAAGUAGUCACCAAUAGACAAAAUUCUUUUAAUGAAUAAGUUAUUAUUUCAUCAUUUAGUUUCCAAAACUUAUAUAUUUUGAGUAAUUGAGAUUUGAAUUUAGGUUUGGUUUAAUUCCUUCAAGUUGGGAGAGUGACAUUUAGUUCUUUCUAAGUUUUGAGUUUUUAAAUUGUUUUUAAGUAAGAUUACAACUAAAUGAUAUAACAAAAUGGUGACGUUAUAGUUAGAUAUGUCGUUUAGACUUUUUUUAAAUUGCUAAUUCUUGUCAAAGAAAGUUAGAUUACAAGGUUUUUAUAAUACAAUAGGAUUGGAGGAAUUUGAAUCACAAGAUUGCAUAUUCAGUUAAACUACUUUUGCAAAAAUGAAAACUCAAUGAUGGAAAAAGAGUUCAAAUCUUGUGUAAUGUUCCAAGUUUAGGUGUGAGUCGUGAAUGAAUUAGGAUCAUUUCUAAUUGAGAUAGACUUAAAAACAUAAGAUAAUGGUUAAGAAAAACCCAAAAGAAUUGAAUGUUUCUACGUAUUCCAAGAAUGUGCCUUCUUCUUUUGGAUGACUCAAUCAUAUAAACUACAAAACAUUGGUGUUAGUUUGUGAUGCCAAUAGCGUUAAAUGGUAGAGACAAAGAGUAAUGUCGAGACCAUUAGACAUCGAAUCUAGAUUCCAAAUCCUAGUAAAUACUCGGGCUUGGGACAUCUCGAGACCAAAAGUAUAUUUUGUUUAUUGAUUAUUAUUGUAUUUUAAAAAAAUGGUUUAUGAAGGCAUUAGUACUCGGUAGCAGCUGUUGUUCACAUUUUGAAACCAAAUCUUUGGAAGGAUAAGAAUCCACAACCAUUACCAUUCGUUGCCAAAAGAUAAGGCGUUAACUCACAUCCACACGCUCUCUAUUUCACUCUCCACGUUAUAGCCACACGACCCAAAAAUCCUCUUUAAAAAACCCUCUCCACUCUCUCAAUUCCAUUUCAUCUCAUCUCAUCUCCAAUCCAACACAAGAACAAUAAGAAAAAUGAGCAGCACCACUGCAAUCACCUCCCCAUUUCCGGCCACCUCCUUCAUCCGUCGGAAUCCUACCGGUGGAGUGAGUUUCAAGCCAUUUCCCAACAUGGGUGAGUCUCUGUACGGGCUGAAACACCGCGGCGGACGACUGGCGAUGAAGGCAUACAAGGUGAAACUCAUAACCCCAGAUGGAGAGAAAACGGUUGAAUGUGAUGCUGAUCUUUACAUUUUGGAUGCGGCUGAGGAAAGUGGGCUUGAUCUUCCUUACUCUUGCAGAGCUGGGGCUUGUUCUUCAUGCGUUGGGAAAGUGGUAUCAGGGAAAUUGGAUCAAUCUGAUCAGAGUUUUCUUGAUGAUGAGCAAGUGGCUGAAGGUUGGGUUUUAACUUGUGUUGCUAGGCCUGAGUCUGAUCUUGUAAUUGAGACUCACAAGGAGGAUUCCUUUGCUGGUUAAAACAGAGGAACAAGAAGGGAUUAAACUUAUUUUUUCUUUUUAU
This 9840-nucleotide long non-coding RNA is filed under the name Cucumis sativus (cucumber). Its description in RNAcentral is "long non-coding RNA (CSAT_LNC001000)". Lineage: Eukaryota; Viridiplantae; Streptophyta; Magnoliopsida; Cucurbitales; Cucurbitaceae. The record is from RNAcentral.